GAUGAACGCUGGCGGCGUGCCUAAUACAUGCAAGUCGAGCGAACGGACGAGAAGCUUGCUUCUCUGAUGUUAGCGGCGGACGGGUGAGUAACACGUGGAUAACCUACCUAUAAGACUGGGAUAACUUCGGGAAACCGGAGCUAAUACCGGAUAAUAUUUUGAACCGCAUGGUUCAAAAGUGAAAGACGGUCUUGCUGUCACUUAUAGAUGGAUCCGCGCUGCAUUAGCUAGUUGGUAAGGUAACGGCUUACCAAGGCAACGAUGCAUAGCCGACCUGAGAGGGUGGUCGGCCACCCUGGAACUGAGACACGGUCCAGACUCCUACGGGAGGCAGCAGUAGGGAAUCUUCCGCAAUGGGCGAAAGCCUGACGGAGCAACGCCGCGUGAGUGAUGAAGGUCUUCGGAUCGUAAAACUCUGUUAUUAGGGAAGAACAUAUGUGUAAGUAACUGUGCACAUCUUGACGGUACCUAAUCAGAAAGCCACGGCUAACUACGUG
RNAcentral lists this ribosomal RNA (497 nucleotides) under uncultured bacterium. RNAcentral describes it as "partial 16S ribosomal RNA". It matches the Rfam family "Bacterial small subunit ribosomal RNA", at positions 28 to 507 of the family's 1533-position model. The record is from RNAcentral.